UCACGACGGGCUUAUAUGUUAGAUUGAUAUUGGAAUUAGGAAUCUAAAGAGCUUUCACUCCACAGUCCACACUGCUCUGCCAUUAUGUAUCUGUUUCAAACAACUUCUGAAUUAUCUUUAUAAAUUCAUUGCUGCACCAGGCUGUGUAAAUAUGAUUUGUUAAGUGGCUAAGUGAAUGGACCCCAUAGUAUUAUCAAUGCAAUUAUGAUAUCAAAGAAAACCUAUAUUAAAGUGUUUUUACGGAAGACAUAUGUUGGUAGGACCAAGAUGUUCUAUAUUUACAUUUCAUUGCAUGGCAGAUGUUAUGUGCUAGAACUGUAAUGCCCUUCAAAACAGAAAAUAGGGGGAGAAAAAGAUAGAAAUAUACUAGGUUGAGAAAAAGGAAAGGCAGCAGGUUUAGAGAGAGUUAGAGGAGAAUAAAUAUAAUUCUUUGUAUUGACUCUAUGAAUGAAUGGAUACUGAUACUGGUUCUGCUUUUGAACUUCUAGCUAGUAACUAAUUCUAAAAGCUGUAACUACUCUUCUAAGAUGGUCGUAACUACAAUACUUCUCUUUCCCCUAUUUCUAACUGUGAAACUACCAGCUAAACUAACUGAGCUACUCUUUAGUCACUUACUACUCCACACUUUAGUCAUAACGUUUCCCAUCUCUUGAAAUCAUUCUUGUCCUAAAAGAUGAAGAAAUAACAAUCAGAAAAACAUAUUAGCAAAUUAUAGACCAUGUGCUACUAAGACAAUUUUGAUGACCAAAACUAAUACCCUGCAUAUUGAAACUUGACUUUCUUCCUUCAUGUUUCCCUUUCUUUCUUUGCCUUCCCCAUCUUUCAAAUUCAUCUUCUUCGUAAUUACAAAUGCGGCUCCCUUCAAGAUUAAUUUCUUUUGCAGCCUUUUUGAUUAUUAAAUUUGGGCCAGGCCUAACUCACCCCAAAAGCUAGCUCAAGGAGGAGGAUUGCCUAUGACCCAUAUAAGGGGCACAUUACCCUUUCCACAACCGAUGUGGGAUUCAACACACCCCUCACGCCCAUAAUUCCUACUGGUGCGUGGCAUAUUUAUGGGGUGCCCAACAUCGGAUGGGGAGGCUCUGAUACCAUAUUAAAUUUGGGCUAGGCCUAACUCACCCCAAAAGCUAGCUCAAGGAGGAGGAUUGCCUAUGGCCCAUAUAAGGGGCACAUUACCCCUUUCCAUAACCGAUGUGGGAUUCAACAUUGAUUUCUCCCGUUUAUCCUCUAUGAAUAUUAGGAACUCACAAUCAUGAUUCUCUUGAACUAAUACGUUCAGUUCAUCCCCACUGCUACAGGAAAUUGCAAUCUCCAUCAAGGUUACCCCGUGAUGCUAUUUUUAUGCACUAGACUCAAACUUCAGCAACAACAACCUCAUCCUGCUUAGUUAUAUGCUGAAGGCCAUAACAGAAAUUUUGGUCUAUCUUCAUAUUGAAAUGCUCUAGAGAUUUGAGGAUUUUUUGUCAAUGUCUUCUUGAUUCUCAGAAGAAGCCAUGCCUGCAUUUUCAAUUGAAUCUGCUUGAUCCAGAACAAUCUCCUCUUUAUCACUAAUAGUAUCAACCUCUUCCUCUUCUCCAUCAUCCACAAUAUCAACCUCUUCUUCCUCCGUUCUUCACCUUCUCUAACAAUGUCAAGCUCUUCCUUUCUGCAUUACCAUGGCAAAAUGAUGCAACAUCAAGAAAAUCAGUCUCCUCAGCCUCUCUCUCCUCAAUCUUUCUCAAUUCCUUGCCAUCACUUUCAGUUUUCUGAUUUUUCUUUGGGAUUUUGAUCCACUUUUUCCAGCAGCUUGUCAAUAUGCUCAAGCGGUAGCCAGAAUGAUUUUUUUGUUGCCAAGGUUGUAGUUCCAUGGCUGAUUGUAGAGUUGCUGAAAGAAGAGAAUUCUGAUGGCCGAUACAGAAAACAAAAAGAAGAGAAAUUGAAAACAGAGAAGAGAGGGGAAUCUGUUCUUGACAGUUAGAGAAAGAGAGAGAAACAGGAAGAAAGAGAGGGAAAAUCAAGUACAAAUAGAGGACUUUGAAAGGAAAGAAUCAGAUAUUUUCUUGAUAUUUCUAGAAUUUGUCAACUGGACAGAAUCAGACCUGAAACAGGUAGUAUCAAAACUGAAACAGAGUUCUGACACAGAUAAAUGGAAACGGAAAGCUUGAAGAUAGAUCUGAGAGAGAUUAGUUGAGAAGAGAAACAGAAUGAAAGAAAGAAUCAGAAGAAGUAGGAAGAAAUAGAGAAAGAAAGGAAGAGAAGUGUUUAGAGAGAAGGAAACAGAGAAAAGAUAGAAGGUAGACUGAGUUUAUUGAUAAUUCUUGAAAUUUCAUGAAAGAAAAAAAGAUAGAGCAGAAGAAUUAAUUGAUAGAUUAGUAGAAAAAAACGUGGAAUUUUGGGAAGCCUUGGACCUGCUCUAAUACCAAUUGUUAUGUAUCAGACCUGUAAUACCCUUCAAAACAAAAAAAUGGGCGAAAACAAAAAUAUCGGCGGAGAAAGAUAAAAGUAGACUAGGUUGAGAAAAGUAAAGAAGAUAUAGAGAGAACUAGAUAUAUUGAUUCUUGGAAUGAAUGAUUGCAGAAUGCAGAUACUGAUAUCGUUUUUUUAUACUUCUUCUAGCUGGUAACUACUUCUGACUGGUGUAACUACUCUUCUAAGAGAGUUGUAACUGCAAU
This 2648-nucleotide long non-coding RNA is filed under the name Manihot esculenta (cassava). Its description in RNAcentral is "long non-coding RNA (MESC_LNC005314)". The record is from RNAcentral. Lineage: Eukaryota; Viridiplantae; Streptophyta; Magnoliopsida; Malpighiales; Euphorbiaceae.